AGAGUUUGAUCCUGGCUCAGGACGAACGCUGGCGGCGUGCUUAACACAUGCAAGUCGAACGGUGAAGUCCCUUCGGGGGCGGAUCAGUGGCGAACGGGUGAGUAACACGUGGGCAAUCUGCCCCUCACUGUGGGAUAACUCCGGGAAACCGGGGCUAAUACCGCAUAUGAAGCCUGGCGGCAUCGCCGGGUUUGGAAAGUUUUUCGGUGAGGGAUGAGCCCGCGGCCUAUCAGCUUGUUGGUGAGGUAAUGGCUCACCAAGGCGACGACGGGUAGCCGGCCUGAGAGGGCGACCGGCCACACUGGGACUGAGACACGGCCCAGACUCCUACGGGAGGCAGCAGUGGGGAAUAUUGGGCAAUGGGCGAAAGCCUGACCCAGCGACGCCGCGUGCGGGAUGAAGGCCUUCGGGUUGUAAACCGCUUUCAGCAAGGAAG
Molecule: ribosomal RNA, 436 nt
Filed under: uncultured bacterium
Lineage: Bacteria
Description: bacterial SSU rRNA
Rfam family: Bacterial small subunit ribosomal RNA
Source: RNAcentral